UUUUUGUGACUGAGUGGCGGACGGGUGAGUAACGCGUGGGUAACCUGCCUCAUACAGGGGGAUAACAGCUUGGAAACGACUGCUAAUACCGCAUAAGCGCACAGGAUUGCAUGAUCCAGUGUGAAAAACUCCGGUGGUAUGAGAUGGACCCGCGUCUGAUUAGCCAGUUGGCGGGGUAACGGCCCACCAAAGCGACGAUCAGUAGCCGACCUGAGAGGGUGACCGGCCACAUUGGGACUGAGACACGGCCCAAACUCCUACGGGAGGCAGCAGUGGGGAAUAUUGCACAAUGGGGGAAACCCUGAUGCAGCGACGCCGCGUGAGCGAAGAAGUAUUUCGGUAUGUAAAGCUCUAUCAGCAGGGAAGAAGAAUGACGGUACCUGACUAAGAAGCACCGGCUAAAUACGUGCCAGCAGCCGCGGUAAUACGUAUGGUGCAAGCGUUAUCCGGAUUUACUGGGUGUAAAGGGAGCGCAGGCGGUACGGCAAGUCUGAUGUGAAAUCCCGGGGCUCAACCCCGGUACUGCAUUGGAAACUGUCGGACUAGAGUGUCGGAGGGGUAAGUGGAAUUCCUAGUGUAGCGGUGAAAUGCGUAUAUAUUAGGAGGAACACCUUUGGCGGAAGGCGGCUUACUGGGACGAUUACUGACGCUGAGG
RNAcentral lists this ribosomal RNA (655 nucleotides) under uncultured bacterium. RNAcentral describes it as "bacterial SSU rRNA". It matches the Rfam family "Bacterial small subunit ribosomal RNA", at positions 82 to 751 of the family's 1533-position model. The record is from RNAcentral.